This 498-nucleotide ribosomal RNA is filed under the name uncultured bacterium. RNAcentral describes it as "partial 16S ribosomal RNA". It matches the Rfam family "Bacterial small subunit ribosomal RNA", at positions 30 to 523 of the family's 1533-position model. The record is from RNAcentral.
AUUGAACGCUGGCGGCAUGCCUUACACAUGCAAGUCGAACGGCAGCACGGGGCGACCUGGUGGCGAGUGGCGAACGGGUGAGUAAUGCAUCGGAACGUACCUUUCAGUGGGGGAUAACGUAGCGAAAGUUACGCUAAUACCGCAUAUUCUGUGAGCAGGAAAGCAGGGGAUCGCAAGACCCUGCGCUGAUUGAGCGGCCGAUGUCAGAUUAGCUCGUUGGUGAGGUAAAGGCUCACCAAGGCGACGAUCUGUAGCGGGUCUGAGAGGAUGAUCCGCCACACUGGAACUGAGACACGGUCCAGACUCCUACGGGAGGCAGCAGUGGGGAAUUUUGGACAAUGGGGGCAACCCUGAUCCAGCCAUGCCGCGUGAGUGAAGAAGGCCUUCGGGUUGUAAAGCUCUUUCGGCCGGGAAGAAAUCGCACGGGCUAAUACCCUGUGUGGAUGACGGUACCGGAAUAAGAAGCACCGGUUAACUACGUGCCAGCCGCCGCGGUAA